UACGUAGGGUGCGAGCGUUAAUCGGAAUUACUGGGCGUAAAGCGUGCGCAGGCGGUUUUGUAAGUCUGUCGUGAAAUCCCCGGGCUCAACCUGGGAAUUGCGAUGGAGACUGCAAGGCUAGAAUCUGGCAGAGGGGGGUAGAAUUCCACGUGUAGCAGUGAAAUGCGUAGAGAUGUGGAGGAACACCGAUGGCGAAGGCAGCCCCCUGGGUCAAGAUUGACGCUCAUGCACGAA
Molecule: ribosomal RNA, 234 nt
Filed under: uncultured bacterium
Lineage: Bacteria
Description: partial 16S ribosomal RNA
Rfam family: Bacterial small subunit ribosomal RNA
Source: RNAcentral